This 74-nucleotide transfer RNA is filed under the name Candidatus Omnitrophica bacterium 4484_70.2. RNAcentral describes it as "tRNA-Ala". It matches the Rfam family "tRNA". Rfam says of the family: Transfer RNA (tRNA) molecules are approximately 80 nucleotides in length. The record is from RNAcentral. Lineage: Bacteria; Pseudomonadati; Candidatus Omnitrophota.
GGGCCUGUAGCUUAGAUUGGGAGAGCGCCUGCUUCGCAUGCAGGAGGUCGGGAGUUCAAAUCUCCUCAGGUCCA